Molecule: ribosomal RNA, 465 nt
Filed under: uncultured bacterium
Lineage: Bacteria
Description: partial 16S ribosomal RNA
Rfam family: Bacterial small subunit ribosomal RNA
Source: RNAcentral
GACGAACGCUGGCGGCGUGCUUAACACAUGCAAGUCGAACGGAAAGGCCCUGCUUGCAGGGUACUCGAGUGGCGAACGGGUGAGUAACACGUGGGUGAUCUGCCCUGCACUUCGGGAUAAGCCUGGGAAACUGGGUCUAAUACCGGAUAGGAGCCAUUUUUAGUGUGAUGGUUGGAAAGUUUUUUCGGUGUGGGAUGAGCUCGCGGCCUAUCAGCUUGGUGGUGGGGGAAUGGCCUUCCAAGGAGGGCACGGGUAGCCGGCCGGGGAGGGUGGGCGGCCACAUUUGGACUGGGAUACGGCCCAGACUCCUACGGGAGGCAGCAGUGGGGAAUAUUGCACAAUGGGCGCGAGCCUGAUGCAGCGACGCCGCGUGGGGGAUUACGGCCUUCGGGUUGUAAACUCCUUUCGCUAGGGACGAAGCUUUUUGUGACGGUACCUAGAUAAGAAGCACCGGCUAACUACGUG